AGUGAACGCUGGCGGUAGGCCUAACACAUGCAAGUCGAACGGAAGCACAGUAAGAGUUUGCUCUUACGGGUGGCGAGUGGCGGACGGGUGAGGAAUACAUCGGAAUCUAAUUUUUCGUGGGGGAUAACGUAGGGAAACUUACGCUAAUACCGAAUACGACCUACGGGAGAAAGCAGGGGAUCUUCGGACCUUGCGCGAUUGAAUGAGCCGAUGUCGGAUUAGCUAGUUGGCGGGGUAAAGGCCCACCAAGGCGACGAUCCGUAGCUGGUCUGAGAGGAUGAUCAGCCACACUGGAACUGAGACACGGUCCAGACUCCUACGGGAGGCAGCAGUGGGGAAUAUUGGACAAUGGGCGCAAGCCUGAUCCAGCCAUACCGCGUGGGUGAAGAAGGCCUUCGGGUUGUAAAGCCCUUUUGUUGGGAAAGAAAAACAGCAGGUUAAUACCCCGCUGUUCUGACGGUACCCAAAGAAUAAGCACCGGCUAACUUCGUG
This 492-nucleotide ribosomal RNA is filed under the name uncultured bacterium. Its description in RNAcentral is "partial 16S ribosomal RNA". It matches the Rfam family "Bacterial small subunit ribosomal RNA", at positions 29 to 507 of the family's 1533-position model. The record is from RNAcentral.